UACGAAGGGGGCUAGCGUUGUUCGGAUUUACUGGUCGUAAAGCGCACGUAGGCGGAUCGAUCAGUCAGGGGUGAAAUCCCAGAGCUCAACUCUGGAACUGCCUUUGAUACUGUCGAUCUGGAGUAUGGAAGAGGUGAGUGGAAUUCCGAGUGUAGAGGUGAAAUUCGUAGAUAUUCGGAGGAACACCAGUGGCGAAGGCGGCUCACUGGUCCAUUACUGACGCUGAGGUGCGAAAGCGUGGGGAGCAAACAGG
Molecule: ribosomal RNA, 253 nt
Filed under: uncultured bacterium
Lineage: Bacteria
Description: partial 16S ribosomal RNA
Rfam family: Bacterial small subunit ribosomal RNA
Source: RNAcentral